Molecule: long non-coding RNA, 3673 nt
Organism: Xiphophorus couchianus (Monterrey platyfish)
Lineage: Eukaryota; Metazoa; Chordata; Actinopteri; Cyprinodontiformes; Poeciliidae
Exons: 3
Source: RefSeq, a predicted model, not a curated record
AAAAACGAAAAGGAAGGAAGGAGGGGAGGGGAGGGGAGGGAUGGUGGGGUGGGUGGACAGCUCACCAGAGUAGUGGCAAUUAUUGCAUUUCAUCUGCUUCCCAAAUGUGAAUUCCCUACCAGAAAAUAAGAAAAACAUUUGGUGCCACAUCCGCUUGUUUUGUAUGCUCUUUCUUUUUUUUUCGUUUUUCUUUUUGUUUGAAAAAUGCAACAAAAACGGCACCAAUGCGCAGCGGUGACCCACUUUACGCCGUCUGUCUCUUUUCGGAUCUUCUUCGGUUUAUGCGGGGAAUUUAAACCGGCGUUCCCAAGAAAGAGAGAGAAAGAAAGAGAGAAACCCAACUGUGGCGUCGGCAUAAAAAAAAUGUUUUUUGAAAUUAAAAUAAGCUUUUAAUCUGUGCGCGAGUGCGUGUUUGUGUGCCUUUUCCUAUCACUCCCGGUUGAGUCAUUUCCCCAAUGCGAGUCUCGUCGGUCUGGAGCUCCCAGAUUGGUCCCGUUCACUGCUCCACGCAGGGAAAGCCCGUUUCAUUUAGUGCUGCGGGAAAGAGGAGCGUCCCAGAGGUUACCUAAUCGAUCCGCUUGAACCAUCCCCACCAGCAAAACGCAUCUGUUUCUGCCUCACGGGUGUGCGCCUGUGAUUUUGUUUUUUGUUUUUUUCAGAAUCAGAUAUUUGAGGCUUCCCCACCGCUUGCUCUUUUCUUCCCAUUUCUGACACGUUAGAAGCACAAAGUCCAACGUGUUUUCCUUCGGGAGAUUUUGUGCAAGCGAAUCAACACAAAAGUUGAGCGUGUAAUGGGAAACUGAAAAGACAAAGAUGCGUUACAUUUCUCCCGGGUUUUUUUCUUCUUCUUCUUCUUCCCAGAAAUAAAAGACGCGCAUGUUUUACACUGAUACCCCAAAAUAAACUACAGUUAUAUCGGGGUUUUUUUAGAGAAGCAUCUGGUAAAGACCAUCUCAAUCGCAUUAAAAAUACAGAGAAAAAAAAAACUAAACAAAUCUGUGAAGGAGCUGCAGGAAUCCACAGGUCAACAGGUAGUUGCCUUCUUAGCGACAAGAAGAAUGCCAUUACUGAAAGAAAUACGUUUUGCUUGCAGUUUGGCACAAACAAAGCCACAGCAGGCACACAAAAUGUUUUGGUGCUCAAGUCAGAUAAAGGCAAAGAAGUUAAAGCCGUUUUGGUUAAACAUAAAAUACCAUGUUUGGGGUGAACCAACACUUCACAUUACUCUGUAGAUAUAAACCAAUGAGACAUGCAUCACUCUGUGGAGAGGAUGGGGGGGGGGUUAGCAAGGACAGAGACGACAGUCAGAAUUAAUGGGAAGUUGGAUAAAGCUAAACAUACAGGGCAAUCAUGGAAGGAAACCCUUUAGAAGUCAGUUUAGCUCCAAGCAUGCAGAUGUGUUAGAAUGGCCUAGCUAAAGUCCAGAAGAUUUUGAAACUGCUGUUUACAUCAAAUCUGGCUGAGCAUGACAUUUUGACUCUUAGGGGUUGAAUGCAAAUGCAUAGAAGAUCAUAAGUGAAAACCAUAAGUCGUUUUCUUUCUGCUUCAAAUUAAUGCACCACUUUGUGUCCAUCACAUAAAAUGUCGGUAAAAUUAUCUUCAUUUUGCUGCAAUUUGAGAAAAAUUUGAAAACCUCAAUGGGUGUGAACGAGGCGAGGCGCUGUGUGUUCACAGCUACCUAAAAAUCAAAGUUUUCACCCCAUGACUGGUUUAUGGACCAUGACCAAAGCAGAACCAUUCAGCCAGUUUGAAUUUCAAAAAUGAACAGAGGAAUGCACUGGGAUCAGGGGGGUCCCGGGGAAAUGAAGUGAGAGGAAAGUCGUGUGGGAAAACAACAGAAAAAGAGAGAAACACAUGUUUACUGAAACGGUCCUUGGCUGACAUGAAAGGCCUGGCUGGCAGUGAAAUGAGGGAUGCAGACAGAUCGGAAAGGGUUGCAAAGAUACAACUCUUUAACAGCUGCGGAGUGAUUUACUUAACCCAAAUGCCGGGUUUCUGCUUUUUGGACAGGACUGGAGUAGUUUUAGCAAAGCAGUGGAUGAAAACAUUUUGACCCAGUUUGUUCUAAUAGAAAGGAAAGUUGGAGAAUCAUUGUUUUCCGUUCCCCUUUGAACUAUGAAACCUGAUUGGACGUCAACAAACCUCUGCAACAACCAAAUCAAUCCAGCUGAAAAAAAAUUUGUUUUAAUCCCAAGGCAAAAUUAAAUGUUGUAACUCUUAAUAUACAAGUUAGAACCUAUUUUAAGCUUUCUUUAAGAGUAAAAAAUGUUUUAUUUUUUUUUAAAGCAGUUGAAUUGAACGUUGCAGAGGUUUGGUGGAGUGAUGACCAAAGAAAAUGACAAUAUGGUAAAAGCAUGUGUUAUGGUCAUGCUAAUUACAAUAAUUAGUUGAAUUAUGUUAACAUCAGUUGAUUGUGUCAAUGAUUUUAGUUGACAAUAGAGAAUGAGUGCAUCAGUGUUUUCCCUGCUAAUUAGUGCAAGCCAGCGUUACAGUCACAUUUUGACCAAAGAACUGAUCAUAAUGUCAAUGAUAUAAUAACAAUAGGCUUUUACCCACUUAGCAAUUAGCUUAAACUGAAGUUUGCCAUGUUCAGACUUCAUAAUUUGGCAAAGCAAACUGGUCAUAAACGUAACAUAGACAUGUAACAUUAUGCAGUGCUAAAUGUUCCCCCAUAGCAACAGUUCUCUCCGGAUAUUCCAGCUUUAACUUUUGCUAGUUUAAAAUUGCGUUAAGUAACUUUUAUUUAAAAACAUAUAUAUGUUUUUUUAAUAUUUGUUAAAGUGGUCACAAUGUCCUGACAGUAUAAUAGAAUACAAAAUAAUCUGUGAAAAGAUCAAGCUCCUCUGCCUUCUCGCUGUGGUCCUAGAGCCAUCUGCAGAAAUGCAUUGCUCAAUCAGAAACAACCAAUCAGAACUGGUAGGAGGGUGCUAGCGCGGUCAAUCACUCUGGUGUAUGUGCUGUUCACAGCUCUCUGCUCCACUACAGUUAGUUCCCUGCAACUUUGCUGUCGGGUUCCAGGGUUUUUUGUUUUUCUUUGUGGGUUUUAUUUGUUGUUUGGGUUCUUCUGUUCCACCACCGUUUCUCCACCAGAUGGUGCCAGAGGCUGCCUACCUGGAGAGGUGUUCCCACGAUUCCACGCACCUGUCUUCAAUCAUCUCAUUAUCUCCAGGAGCAUCAGAGAAGCUGACUGCCAGCACUGCGACACCUGAGUGUUAGCCUCCUACGGUGUUUUUCCCUGUGAAGCUGUGGAUCCUCCUCGUGAUGAUCUAGUCCUGGCUUUGGAUUUCGCUUCCUUCGUGACGCCGUGGAUCUUACCCACUGGUUACCCGAGUUCCACCAUCCUCCUCUCCUGUUGAUCAUCAGAGUCUCCUGUUUUCCCCGGCUGGCAGUCGCACCGCUCCUCUGACUCCUCUCUCGCCAGGAACUUACCUGUCCGCCCUCCACCGCAGCCAGCCCAUCUCCCACCAGACUCCGCUCAGCUGAGCCACCCUCUGGAACCUGGACCACUCUAGGAUUUUCUAUAGGGCCGCUGCCCUGAACCCACAGUCGAAACCCCCCCGGACCGAAAUCAUCAUCUCCACAAUGUGCCAACAUCUUCAAGAAUCCACCCGCAGGACCACACACACACUCAUUCUGAUUUAUCUUUACAUUUCAAUAAACAGUCUUUAACUGA